This 1307-nucleotide long non-coding RNA is filed under the name Astyanax mexicanus (Mexican tetra). RNAcentral describes it as "lncRNA (ENSAMXG00005010853.1)". The record is from RNAcentral. Lineage: Eukaryota; Metazoa; Chordata; Actinopteri; Characiformes; Acestrorhamphidae.
AAAAAUUUAACAGCAUCGGCCCCUGGGGGUUGUCGGCCCACCGGGCAAAUGCCCGGUACGCCCGAUUACCCUGAAAACCGGGGCUCCAUUUUUUAUCAAGGUAUGCCCAAACUAUGGCGAAAGUGUGGAAAGCUUGGGCACCUUGCAGAAGCGUGUUCAGAAAUCAUGUGUGGGAAGUGCAGAGAAAUUGGGCACACUUAUGAGGAGUGUCCCAAUGGCAGCAGGUGCAAUCUUUGUGGUGAAAAUUCCAAUCUCUACAGAGAUUGCCCCAAAUCGUUUGCCAACAAACUCAAGGCGAACAAAAUGGCAGCAUGGCCAGGAGGAGCAGAAGAGGGAGAAGGAAGUGGAGGAGGAAGGGGCGGUCCCUGAGGUUUUGGCGGGAGAUUUAAAUCUCCAGCCGGCAUCAGGGAAUGGCCAUGUUGCAGAGGGCGGGGCUAACACCCAGGCAGAGUCACAGCAGGAGCUGGAGGCCACACCCCUCCAGCCUGAACAAGGAGACAAAAUGGUGGUGGAACAGCAAGAGGAGGAGGAAACCAACUCCUCCAUGGUGAUGGUGAAGGAAGGUUUAGUGCCCUCCAGCGGGGGUGAGUCAACCGGCUCCCUCCCAAACGCCCAGGUGGGGAAAAGAGCUGCAGAGUCUCCUCUGUCUAUAUUGACGGAGAAGAAACAGAGGGCCGCACGGGGUUCAGGUAGUUCUUCCACAGAAUGUCAGAAGUGUGAGAGUGUGAGAGCCUCCACUAGAGCAGAGAGCGUCUUGUCCUAUAAAGAUAUAAAGUCAGAUGUGGUUUUAUUACAAGAGUGUGCUUUGCCAUUUAAGAAAUCCUACAGAGAUUGGGAGCAGCGGUGGGCUGCGGGUCCCUUUCUCUGGAGCGGCUCACACUACAACAGAGCCGACGGUGUUGCCAUUUUAAUAAAGAACCCAAACAUCUUGGUGAAGGGCAGCACAGUGGUGAAAGACGGACAGGCUUUGACUUUUUUAGGGACAGACUUUAAAAUUUUAAACAUAUAUGGUUUUAACGACAAAAACGACAGGUACAACCUUUUAGAAGACCUGCAGCCCCACAUGCUAAGGAGGGUUACUUUAGUGGUGGGAGGGGAUUUUAAUUGUGUUUUAACUAGAAAAGAUAGGAAAGGGAGGGGGGAUGAUUUUAAAUUAGACACCAUUUUUACUUCAGGGUUUAGUUAAAGAUUUUAAAUUAGUCGACUGUUUUAAAACAAUGCAUCCAGGGGAGGAGGGCUUCACCUGGUUCAGUGGUGAUUGUGCCCGAGCCUCCCGCAUCGACUACAUUUUUACAAGAGACUGCCCG